Molecule: ribosomal RNA, 662 nt
Filed under: Eocercomonas uvella
Lineage: Eukaryota; Cercozoa; Cercomonadida; Cercomonadidae
Description: eukaryotic LSU rRNA
Rfam family: Eukaryotic large subunit ribosomal RNA (bases 438-662)
Source: RNAcentral
UGGCGCUCUCGGGAUAGGCCUGGGAGCACGCCUCUUUGAGUGUCGAUUCAAUCAAACUCAGCGACCUGCUCUUUAACUGGUGUGGGCGCAGCUGAAUAUUGAGUGUCUCCCCGUAACUGGCGGAGUCACUUUAAGCGGAGCGAGUCUCCCUUUUCCCUAGCAAUUUGCUUUUUGUGAGCGGAAGCUUUCGGGUUUCUGUUUACUUUUAGCAAUAGCCUUGGUGAGAGUUUUGCCUUAUGCAAACUCGUGCCUGCUAGUGAUGCGGAUAAUCACAUUUACUGUGUUUCCAUCAUGACUGGUAGGAGCGGGAUUCGUUAGGCAAACGGCUUUAGUGUCCAGCUCUUCCUUGUGCGACAAAGGCCUGGGAAUCGGUGCUUAGACAGACCGGACUGAUUGCGGGCAACUGCGACUUCAGUUCAAAUCAACCUUUUUGACUUAGACCUCAAAUGAAGCGAGACAACCCGCUGAACUUAAGCAUAUCAUUAAGCGGAGGAAAAGAAACUAACAAGGAUGCCCUCAGUAACGGCGAGUGAAGCGGGCAAAGCUCAAACUGAAAAUCGGGUCUCCACGCGGGGCUUCGAAUUGUAGUCUAUAGACGUAGCGUCAGUAGUGACCCAGGUAUAAAUCUUUUGAAACAAGGUAUCAUAGAGGGUGAGAAUCCC